GGAUGAAGGAGGGUUUCAGAAAGGAAAUAACCGAGAUAAGUAAAAGUUAUAAAGAGUCAAUUUUGCCAGAAAAAAAAGGGUUUAUAAAAUGGGUACGAUUGCUUGGUGAGGUGAGGCCAGAGGGACAAAAUAAUGUGAACAUGACAAAAGGUAGGGAAAACCCAUGGAAGAUGGCUUAGUGGAGGUAUGAAUGGAUCCAUAUAUAUAUCAUUCACGGGGUUGAUGUAAGUUGACCUUUAUAGUAACUUGAAUGACAAAAAGGGUGGGUGCUAGUGUUGUUCAUUUUAAUGAUGAAAGUUUAUUUGUUUCAUAGUGGCAGUUGGUUUUGGUUUCCAUGUGGUGCUAGCUAGUUAUCGUAUGCAUGUCUCAACCCCCUGUAUCAUCACUCUCUGCAUUUUCC
This 400-nucleotide long non-coding RNA is filed under the name Glycine max (soybean). RNAcentral describes it as "long non-coding RNA (GMAX_LNC004448)". Lineage: Eukaryota; Viridiplantae; Streptophyta; Magnoliopsida; Fabales; Fabaceae. The record is from RNAcentral.